AAUCAACGCUGGCGGCGUGCCUCAGACAUGCAAGUCGAACGAUUAAGACUUCCUUCGGGAAGUGCAUAAAGUGGCGCACGGGUGAGUAACACGUAAGUAAUCUACCCUCGAGUGGGAAGUAACGUUCGGAACGGAACGCUAAUACCGCAUAACGCAGCGGCACCGCAAGGUGACAGUUGUUAAAGGAGUAAUUCGCUUGAGGAGGAGCUUGCGGCAGAUUAGCUUGUUGGUAAGGAACGGCUUACCAAGGCUACGAUCUGUAUCCGGUCUAAGAGGACGGUCGGACACACUGACACUGAAU
Molecule: ribosomal RNA, 301 nt
Filed under: uncultured bacterium
Lineage: Bacteria
Description: bacterial SSU rRNA
Rfam family: Bacterial small subunit ribosomal RNA
Source: RNAcentral